UACGGGGGGAGCAAGCGUUGUUCGGAUUUACUGGGCGUAAAGGGCGCGUAGGCGGCCACAGCAAGUCGACUGUGAAAUCUCCGGGCUUAACCCGGAAAGGUCAGCCGAUACUGCGGGGCUAGAGUGCAGAAGGGGCAACUGGAAUUCUCGGUGUAGCGGUGAAAUGCGUAGAUAUCGAGAGGAACACCUGCGGCGAAGGCGGGUUGCUGGGCUGACACUGACGCUGAGGCGCGAAAGCUAGGGGAGCAAACGGG
RNAcentral lists this ribosomal RNA (254 nucleotides) under uncultured bacterium. Its description in RNAcentral is "partial 16S ribosomal RNA". It matches the Rfam family "Bacterial small subunit ribosomal RNA", at positions 524 to 776 of the family's 1533-position model. The record is from RNAcentral.